RNAcentral lists this ribosomal RNA (1050 nucleotides) under Triticum aestivum (bread wheat). RNAcentral's name for it is "partial small subunit ribosomal RNA". The record is from RNAcentral. Lineage: Eukaryota; Viridiplantae; Streptophyta; Magnoliopsida; Poales; Poaceae.
AUGCCGCCGCCGGCGUCAGCUCCGGGCACCCUCGGGGCCGCGAUGCUCACCGAUAUGAUGCACCACGGGCGUGAACCACACGAGAUAAACGAGAUCUUGGCCCUCUUGCUCUACUGCAUCCACCGCACACUCCCCGACCCGCCCGUCUCCGCCGUCGCUCGCCUCUCCGCCCUCCCCUCCGAUGACCCCAUCGACCGCGUCAGCCGCCUCCCCGACGUGAUACUCCGUCGCAUCGUCUCCCUCCUGCCCAUCAAGGACGCCGCGCGCACCGCCCUGCUCUCCCGCUGCUGGCGCGGGGUCUGGCGUUCCAUCUCGCUCGUCCUCACCGACACGGACCUCUCCCCAUCCCCGGCAGCCUCCGCCCUGUCCCGCGUCCUCGAGGCGCACCCAGGGCCCUUCCGUGCGUCCACCUCACCAGCAGCUACACGGAGGAGUCCAGCCACCUGCUCACGCCCUGGCUCCAGCUCCUCGCCGCCAAGGGGGUAUAGGAGCUCAUCCUCGUCAACCGCCAAGGAGGAGAUCUUCGUGGUGAACGCCCCACGCCUUCAGCGCCUAAUCAAUUUGGAGGGUUGGACCCCCGACACGGGCUGCACCAAGGUCAGGAUCGGCCAUGCCCCUAAGCUGCAAUUGCUGGCCUACUUGCAGUUGGACACAGGGAAUCACGUCUUCAAUGUCGGCAACACCAUCAUCAAGGCUGGGACAAGAGUGAGCCCAAGAACCAUGGUACCAAGUGUGAUAGUCCUGGCUCUGGAGGUGCGUUUCGAUGUACGCAAUGAUGCCAAGAUGAUUCCGAGUGUCCUCGGAUGCUUUCGUAAUGUCGAGACGCUCCACAUCAAGUGUGGAAAAUCUGAUCAAUCCACUGGCAAGCUCAACCUAAAGUCCUGGCAUGACUCUGGUACCGCAGAAUGCAUCCAGUCGUGCAUCAAGGAGCUGAUCUUCCAUGAUUUCCGAGGGGGUCGAAGUGAGCUCGCCUUCCUCAAAUAUUUUGUCGAGAGUGCAUCGGUGCUCAAGCAGGUGUUGCUUCUAUUGUCUGCUGGCUGCACCGUGUAG